Molecule: long non-coding RNA, 1198 nt
Filed under: Gallus gallus (chicken)
Lineage: Eukaryota; Metazoa; Chordata; Aves; Galliformes; Phasianidae
Description: lncRNA (ENSGALG00010006632.1)
Source: RNAcentral
GUUAGGAGGAAAUUCUUCAUACAGAAGAGGUCGUUGAGGCAUAGGCACUGCUGCUCAGAGCUCUGGGUGCCUCAUUUCGGGAGGCACUCACGGCGAGUUUCGACGUGGCGCUGAGCAGCCUGAGCUGCUGGGGGGCAGCCCUGCCCACGGCACGGGGUGGGAACUGGGUGGGCUUUAAGCCCUGUGGGAUCACCACUUCAGUAUUCCAGAAGGAAGCAAUGGAAGACUUGUUACCUGUGAACAGACUUGUCCUAUGAACUAUUACAGCACGUACGUAAGAUUUCAGAAGUAACUGGUUUUUGAAGUGAAAACUCAGGUUAAUCCCAAGAACAGAAGACCUUGUCGGAAUAUGCUGGAGAAACAUCACUGUUGAAGUUGCUGUUUGCUCUAGUGGAUAAUCUAUUCCUGAAUAGAUCUUCAGUGCCAAAGGAAUAUAAAGUGACAAAUACCAUUUCAGUCUGUGAAACAAUCUCUCUGUUUCCUGAGCACUACAAAACAGAUCUUUCUCAGAGUUUUCUGCUGUUCUGCCAGCUCUGCUGUUUGUCAGGCUUUGCAGGAGAAAGCCAGCUGUCCUGUUAAAUUACCAGUCUUUUCAAGAGGAAGUCAACUUCAGCGUUCUUUUAACUGAUAGAUAAACCUACACUGCCAGAAAUAAAAAAAAUAAAGAAAGAAAGAAAAAAACUUGUACAACUGUACUCAAUAUCUAGCUUCAUGACUACAAAUGCUCUCAUAGUUGUGUGAGGAUGAGAAAUAUCUAAAAUUUGUCUAUAUCGUCAUAAAUAUUGUAAGCACAUUGCUUCUGUGUUUCUUUUUUUCACUGUUAGGGGCAGUGAGCACCUGAAGAAGUGGUUUCUUACUCUUACUGAAUUAUAUAGAAUCACAGAAUGGCUUAGAUUGGAGGGGAUCUUAAAAGUCAUCUAGUUCCAACCCUCCUGCCGUGGGUUGCCUAUCACUAGACCAGGCUGCCCAGGAUCCCAUCCAACCUGGCCUUGAAUGCUUCCAGAGAUGGGCCAUCCACAACCUAACAUCUAACCUCAAUCUCUCCUCUCUUAGUUUAUAGCCAUUGCCCCUUUCCUGCCACUACUAGACUGUGUAAAAAGUCCUCAAGUAUAAAAAGCUCCCCGCAGAUACUGUGGAAGACCACCAUGAGGUCUCCCCAGAGCCUUCUCUUCUCCAAUCUAAACAAACACAGUUCCCU